UAGCUCAGUCAGUUGAGCGUGGUGCUAACAAUGCCAAGGUCACGGGUUUGAUUCCCGU
Molecule: transfer RNA, 58 nt
Organism: Apaloderma vittatum (bar-tailed trogon)
Lineage: Eukaryota; Metazoa; Chordata; Aves; Trogoniformes; Trogonidae
Rfam family: tRNA
About the family: Transfer RNA (tRNA) molecules are approximately 80 nucleotides in length.
Source: Rfam